GAACGCUGGCGGAACGCUUUACACAUGCAAGUCGAACGGUAACGUGGGGAGGAGCUUGCUCCACCCUGACGACGAGUGGCGAACGGGUGAGUAAUACAUCGGAACGUGUCCGCUCGUGGGGGACAACCAGCCGAAAGGUUGGCUAAUACCGCAUGAGUUCUACGGAAGAAAGAGGGGGACCCGCAAGGGCCUCUCGCGAGCGGAGCGGCCGAUGACUGAUUAGCCCGUUGGUGAGGUAACGGCUCACCAAAGCAACGAUCAGUAGCUGGUCUGAGAGGACGACCAGCCACACUGGGACUGAGACACGGCCCAGACUCCUACGGGAGGCAGCAGUGGGGAAUUUUGGACAAUGGGCGCAAGCCUGAUCCAGCUAUUCCGCGUGUGGGAUGAAGGCCCUCGGGUUGUAAACCACUUUUGUAGGGAACGAAAAGACAUCUUCGAAUAAAGGAUGUUGCUGACGGUACUCUAAGAAUAAGCACCGGCUAACUACGUGCCAGCAGCCGCGGUAAUACGUAGGGUGCGAGCGUUAAUCGGAAUUACUGGGCGUAAAGGGUGCGCAGGCGGUUGAGUAAGACAGAUGUGAAAUCCCCGAGCUUAACUCGGGAAUGGCAUAUGUGACUGCUCGACUAGAGUGUGUCAGAGGGAGGUGGAAUUCCACGUGUAGCAGUGAAAUGCGUAGAUAUGUGGAAGAACACCGAUGGCGAAGGCAGCCUCCUGGGACAUAACUGACGCUCAGGCACGGAAACGUGGGGAGCAAACAGGAUUAGAUACCCUGGUAGUCCACGCCUUAAACGAUGUUAACUAGUUGUUGGGAUGUAACAAUCUCAGUAACGCAGCCAACGCGAGAAGUUAACCGCCUGGGAAGUACGGUCGCAAGACUAAAACUCAAAGGAAUUGACGGGGACCCGCACAAGCGGUGGAUGAUGUGGAUUAAUUCGAUGCAACGCGAAAAACCUUACCUACCCUUGACAUGUCAGGAAGCUCUUGUAAUGAGAGCGUGCCCGCAAGGGAGCCUGAACACAGGUGCUGCAUGGCUGUCGUCAGCUCGUGUCGUGAGAUGUUGGGUUAAGUCCCGCAACGAGCGCAACCCUUGUCUUUAGUUGCCAGCAUUCGGUUGGGCACUCUAGAGAGACUGCCAGGGAUAACCUGGAGGAAGGUGGGGAUGACGUCAAAUCAUCAUGCCCCUUAUGCUUAGGGCUACACACGUGCUACAAUGGGUGGUACAGAGGGUUGCCAAACCGUGAGGUGGAGCCAAUCCCUUAAAGCCAUUCUCAGUUCGGAUUGUAGGCUGAAACUCGCCUACAUGAAGCUGGAGUUACUAGUAAUCGCAGAUCAGAAUGCUGCGGUGAAUGCGUUCCCGGGUCUUGUACACACCGCCCGUCACACCACGGGAGUCGGAAACACCCGAAGCCGAUUAUCCAACCGCAAGGAGGAAGUCGUCGAAGGUGGCGUCGAUAACUGGGGUGAA
Molecule: ribosomal RNA, 1468 nt
Filed under: uncultured organism
Description: SSU rRNA
Rfam family: Bacterial small subunit ribosomal RNA
Source: RNAcentral